Cornus florida is the source of this 619-nucleotide long non-coding RNA. RefSeq lists it as uncharacterized. The record is from RefSeq and is a predicted model, not a curated record. The transcript has 3 exons. Lineage: Eukaryota; Viridiplantae; Streptophyta; Magnoliopsida; Cornales; Cornaceae.
CUCCCCCAUUAUCAACCGUGCGAUACAAUGCCGACACCUGCUUGCCAUAUAUACGGGAUACUCUAACAGAUUCAACAAAAGUUACCUUAUUGUUUAGAGAUAGAGGGAGAGAAGGCGAAGAUACCUGUUCAUAAUCUCAGAGGGUUAGCAUUGGGUCUUAACAUUUUGCAAGAACAAGGUUCAAGAAACAUGUCUCUUCAGUUUUCAGGUCUCUUCUUCGAGAGUUGAUUGGGAAUGGGUGGAGUAGGGGAAAUUGGAAUCUAUUCGCCGGGACCAGCAAUGGCAUCAGAGCGGACAACGAUGACAAAUUUUUGGUUCGGUUGAACUCGGGACAACUCCCUUCCAAUCCGAGUCGGAUUGGGUCGAGCGCCACCAGCCACUUCCAAGUUCAUCGGAUUGGGUCGAGCGCCACCAGCCACUUCCAAGUUCAUCGCCGAACUGUAGAAGUCCGCUAGGCGAACUGAUCUAUUGUUGUCAACAAAACGGAGUAAAUUUAUUUUUUACUUUCUCAGUUGAUACAGCAUGCACGCUCAAACUCAUGCUCACAGUGGUUUUGUUAUAGUGCUGGAGUAGGUAAUUUUAAUAAAAAUUACUUUAAUAAAUUUGCCAAAUUGAAUUU